AGAGUUUGAUCCUGGCUCAGAAUGAACGCUGGCGGCGUGCCUAACACAUGCAAGUCGGAUGUGCCGCAAGGUGCAUGGCAGACGGGUGAGUAACGCGUGGGGAAUCUACCUCUUUGUGGGGAAUAACGCUCCGAAAGGAGUGGUAAUACCGCAUGAGACCAAUGGCUGGAAUGUUGUUGGUGAAACCUGGGGACCGCAAGGCCUGGGGCAAGGAGAGGAUCCUGCGUCUGAUUAGCUAGUUGGCGGGGUAACGGCCCACCAAGGCGACGAUCAGUAGCCGGCCUGAGAGGGUGAUCGGCCACACUGGAACUGAGACACGGUCCAGACUCCUACGGGAGGCAGCAGUGGGGAAUUUUGCGCAAUGGGCGAAAGCCUGACGCAGCAACGCCGCGUGGGUGAUGAAGGUCUUCGGA
This 413-nucleotide ribosomal RNA is filed under the name uncultured bacterium. Its description in RNAcentral is "bacterial SSU rRNA". It matches the Rfam family "Bacterial small subunit ribosomal RNA", at positions 8 to 422 of the family's 1533-position model. The record is from RNAcentral.